AAAGAUCUUCUCUGUUACCUGUUGCACUUGAAGGACACUGUCAUGAGAAGACAACAAGCUGCUCUGAGGACCCUAGGGACCAUCACUAAGGAAUCUGUCCCACGUGAAAAACCCUGUCUUCAUCACCACUCUGGCUGCCUGGGGGCACGUGGCCUGAAGUCAGAGCGCACGUGGCCUGAAGUCAGAGCACCAGAGUCUGAAGCCUCUACCAAUAGCGACGUGUACAAUAAUGGUGUCACCUAAUCUUCCAAGCCCAUUUCAUCUAAACAUGGGAAUUCAUAAUGGUAUCUCC
Molecule: non-coding RNA, 292 nt
Organism: Odocoileus virginianus texanus
Lineage: Eukaryota; Metazoa; Chordata; Mammalia; Artiodactyla; Cervidae
Source: RefSeq, a predicted model, not a curated record